GGGGGUAUAGCUCAGUUGGUAGAGCGCAUGCCUUGCACGCAGGAAGUCAGCGGUUGGAGUCCGCUUACCUCCA
This 73-nucleotide transfer RNA is filed under the name Microcoleus vaginatus P0R1. RNAcentral's name for it is "tRNA-Ala". It matches the Rfam family "tRNA". Rfam says of the family: Transfer RNA (tRNA) molecules are approximately 80 nucleotides in length. Their secondary structure includes four short double-helical elements and three loops (D, anti-codon, and T loops). Further hydrogen bonds mediate the characteristic L-shaped molecular structure. tRNAs have two regions of fundamental functional importance: the anti-codon, which is responsible for specific mRNA codon recognition, and the 3' end, to which the tRNAs corresponding amino acid is attached (by aminoacyl-tRNA synthetases). tRNAs cope with the degeneracy of the genetic code in two manners: having more than one tRNA (with a specific anti-codon) for a particular amino acid; and 'wobble' base-pairing, i.e. permitting non-standard base-pairing at the 3rd anti-codon position. The record is from RNAcentral. Lineage: Bacteria; Bacillati; Cyanobacteriota; Cyanophyceae; Oscillatoriales; Microcoleaceae.